RNAcentral lists this ribosomal RNA (767 nucleotides) under Codosiga botrytis. RNAcentral's name for it is "partial 18S ribosomal RNA". It matches the Rfam family "Eukaryotic small subunit ribosomal RNA", at positions 574 to 1332 of the family's 1831-position model. The record is from RNAcentral. Lineage: Eukaryota; Choanoflagellata; Craspedida; Salpingoecidae.
CCCAGCGGUUAAUUUCAGCUUCCAAUAGCGUAUAUUAAAGUUGUUGCAGUUAAAAAGCUCGUAGUUGAAGGUGGCGGGGGGCGGGAAGGGUCGGAGGAGAAAUCCRACGACCARAACAAACCCUGCAUGAUCUUGAUGGGUGGGGGAACGGGCUUYGUGUGCAAUUGAGUUUGCGGACGGGGCUUGCCACCUGAUUACUGUGAAAAAAUUAGAGUGUUCCAKGCGGUUGGGUUUCGAUUGAAUAGAUUAGCAUGRAAUAAUGGAAGAGGACGAUGUUUCCGCUUUUGUUGGUUCGGGUGGAUGAUGUUGUAAUGAUUAAUAGGGACAGUUGGGGGCAUUAGUAUUUAAUAGCUAGAGGUGAAAUUCCAGGAUUUAUGAAAGACUGACUUCUGCGAAGGCAUUUGCCAAGGAUGUUUUCAUUGGUCAAGAACGAAAGUUAGGGGAUCGAAGACGAUUAGAUACCGUCGUAGUCUUAACUGUAAACUAUGCCGACUCGRGCUCUGUGGUGCUGUUUGGAGCGCAUGGGGACCGUGAGAGAAAUCGGAAGUGUUUGGSUUCUGGGGAGAGUAUGGUCGCAAGGCUGAAAUUUAAAGGAAUUGACGGAAGGGCACACCAGAAGUGGAGCCUGCGGCUUAAUUUGACUCAACAGCGGGGAAACUCACCASGUCCAGUACAUARUGAGGAUUGACAGAWUGAGASACUCUYUCUWGAUUCYAKGUSUGGAGUGCMYAGGCCGUUCUUAGUUGGUGGGGCGACUUGUCUGGUUA